UAGGGAAUAUUGGACAAUGGGGGGAACCCUGAUCCAGCCAUGCCGCGUGGAGGAAGACUGCCCUCUGGGUUGUAAACUCCUUUUAUAUGGGAAGAACCGUCCUCAUUGAUGAGUGACCUGACGGUACCAUAGGAAUAAGCACCGGCUAACUCCGUGCCAGCAGCCGCGGUAAUACGGAGGGUGCAAGCGUUGUCCGGAUUUACUGGGCGUAAAGGGAGCGUAGGCGGACUUUUAAGUGAGAUGUGAAAUACCCGGGCUCAACCUGGGUGCUGCAUUUCAAACUGGAAGUCUAGAGUGCAGGAGAGGAGAGUGGAAUUCCUAGUGUAGCGGUGAAAUGCGUAGAGAUUAGGAAGAACACCAGUGGCGAAGGCGACUCUCUGGACUGUAACUGACGCUGAGGCUCGAAAGCGUGGGGAGCAAACA
RNAcentral lists this ribosomal RNA (423 nucleotides) under uncultured bacterium. RNAcentral's name for it is "bacterial SSU rRNA". It matches the Rfam family "Bacterial small subunit ribosomal RNA", at positions 355 to 774 of the family's 1533-position model. The record is from RNAcentral.